GGAUGACCUGCCUGUCGGUCUUAAAGGGAUGACCUGCCCGUCAGUCUUAAAGGGAUGACCUAUCUAUCGGCCUUAAAGGGAUGGUGUCAGUGUUUUAUGUACCUUGCUGAUGCUAUGUAAUAGGGUUGUAUAGGGUUGUGCACAAUGAUAGUCUGUGUUUACUGUGAACUGUUGUCUGUUAUUUCAUGAUAAUGAUCUGUGCCACAAACCUCGUCAUUCACAGAGUAGAAUCUACAUGUUGGGUUAGAGUGUUUCCAUCUGACAGUACAUCAACAGGAAGGAAACAGAAUUCCCUGUUAAUCCCUCAGAGCAGAAUCAUCAUGUUGUUCUAGAAUCCCUCAGAGCAGAAUCAUCAUGUUGUUCUAGAAUCCCUCAGAGCAGAAUCAUCAUGUUGUUCUAGAAUCCCUCAGAGCAGAAUCAGCAUGUUGUUCUAGAAUCCCUCAGAGCAGAAUCAUCAUCAUGUUCUAGAAUCCCUCAGAGCAGAAUCAGCAUGUUUCUCUUCUAUACAGAAUGACUAACAUUAUUCUGAUGUGGGUCCAUGUCUUGAUUUCACUAGUUUUAUUGUAUUUCAGAAUGAUGUAUGUUUCAUAAGGAUAUCA
RNAcentral lists this long non-coding RNA (599 nucleotides) under Salmo salar (Atlantic salmon). RNAcentral describes it as "lncRNA (ENSSSAG00000111878.1)". The record is from RNAcentral. Lineage: Eukaryota; Metazoa; Chordata; Actinopteri; Salmoniformes; Salmonidae.